Syngnathoides biaculeatus (alligator pipefish) is the source of this 948-nucleotide long non-coding RNA. RefSeq lists it as uncharacterized. The transcript is spliced from 4 exons. The record is from RefSeq and is a predicted model, not a curated record. NCBI's taxonomy places the organism in Eukaryota, Metazoa, Chordata, Actinopteri, Syngnathiformes, Syngnathidae.
AUUCCGUGAACCUUCUCGCGUUCAUGGAAAUAAUUACGUUUUCUAAUUUCUAUUUUUGUUGACGUAUUAAUGUUUCAUUGGAAUAAAAACCUUUUAGGAAGCUCUUUUGAUGAUAAUUUUUGGAUAAGAAUGGAGGAGGGAAAUGUUGGAAUAAUGUAAAUAUGUGAAGUAAAUUUCCACUUAGGUGCAAAACACACAUAGUCAAACAAGAACACGAUACCCCCCCCCGCCCCCCUAUUUAGGACCUCGACGCAAAUAAUAAGAGAUGGCUUGGAGGAACUGCUUUAGAGCGUAGUGAAGAAUUGCAUGGUGCAGUUCUUCUCCGUUCUCCUUGCACAUUUGAAUCUGGUAAUGACUGUUUUCAUCUCCUUCUUGCGUGGUUUUCAUAAAUGUCUUCCUGGUGAACCUGACAUUUAAAUCCCUCCAUUCCCAUACUGGAGUCAGCGGUUCACCAAGGGGGACUAUACUGACUUCCCACUGAACAGGUUUUAUGGUCUACGCUGUCUCUGUCACUUGACAGGGACUAGUAUGCUCAAGGUUUUAUUCCUGCCACAGUCACCUUGAUGCACAUUUCACUCAUUCCUCAUGAGCGUGUGAGUUUCCUACUCAUCCGAGAAGAUGUCUUCAUUCCUUCGGCUUCCCGUCAACCCUCAGUCUCCAGACGCAGAGCCGAGGCUCAGUCCCGGAAUGGGUCUCAAAUGCCGUGGCCACGGUGUUUUGCCUGGAUGUCGACUCAGGUCCUGGAAGCUUCCGGUAUCUUGGGAUCCAGCUCGAAGGACCAAUUUAAAUGUCAGGUUCACCAGCACUGCAGCUUGCGCACGCUGCGCGAAAUCCUCUUAAAGUCGCGGCGUCCCUUCUGCCAACGCUUGAGCGAGGUGACCACCAGGCGCCCGUCGUCCAUCUUCCGGCCCAGCACCAGAAUUAAGGACAAGAAAUGAUCUGCACGAG